Molecule: ribosomal RNA, 470 nt
Filed under: uncultured bacterium
Lineage: Bacteria
Description: bacterial SSU rRNA
Rfam family: Bacterial small subunit ribosomal RNA
Source: RNAcentral
AGAGUUUGAUCCUGGCUCAGAGCGAACGCUGGCGGCAGGCUUAACACAUGCAAGUCGAGCGCCCCGCAAGGGGAGCGGCAGACGGGAGAGUAACACGUGGGAACGUACCCUUCAGUUCGGAACAACCAAGGGAAACUUUGGCUAAUACCGGAUACGUCCGUAAGGAGAAAGAUUUAUCGCUGAAGGAUCGGCCCGCGUCUGAUUAGCUAGUUGGUGAGGUAACGGCUCACCAAGGCGACGAUCAGUAGCUGGUCUGAGAGGAUGAUCAGCCUCACUGGGACUGAGACACGGCCCAGACUCCUACGGGAGGCAGCAGUGGGGAAUAUUGGACAAUGGGCGCAAGCCUGAUCCAGCCAUGCCGCGUGGAUGAUGAAGGCCCUAGGGUUGUAAAGUCCUUUUAACGGGGAAGAUAAUGACGGUACCCGUAGAAUAAGCCCCGGCUAACUUCGUGCCAGCCGCCGCGGUAAUAC